CUGAAUUGACUACAGGGGAAAAUAAUUGGGGGAAAGAGCGAUGAGGAAAGUGGGGGAGGAAAUGUCUCCCUCAGAUGCAAAGGCAUUUCCCUUCCCUUCCCUCCCCUUCGCCCCGGCUUACAUUUUCUGCACGGGUUUCCGCCGCUUGCGGCUGGCGUAGGUGACAUUGGGGUUCAUCCUCCUGCUGCUCCCGCUGCUCCCGCCGCGGCUCCAGCGCCUCCGGCCUCAAGAGAUUGUUAUUUGUGUGUGUCAAAUGUAUACGCUUCAAAACACACACACCAAAAGCACCCCACCCCACCCCCCCACCCCCUUUGAGGCCUCCCACCAGCGAGUGGUAAAGGCAGAAUCUCCUCAGAGAAGAAGCAGGUCGCGCGGCCCGGCCUCCUCCGCCCCGCCGUCAAUCCCACUCCAGAGUCCCUUCUUCGGCUGAGAGGAAGGGAGGGAGGAGGGGAGCCAGGUGCUUGGCGCCGGCAACACCCACUCGUCGCCGCCGUCGUCGUCCUCCUCGCUCCGUUUUCGGGGCGGAGAGACAGGUGCGGAGGCGGCCACUCCGUCCCUCCUCCUUCUCCUCAGAGAGAGAGAGAGAAGCCUCCCUUCUCUUCCUUUCCCGUCAGCACAGCCGCCGUCCUCAGGGAGGAAGGAGGGCCUCGCCUCACGCACAGGCGCUCCCUCCGUUUAUUCGCUCUUUCUGCCUCGGUCUCAGCGUCGGGAGCCGAGCCUUCGCUCUCCUUGCAGGCCCGGCCCACCGCCCACCGAGCAGCAGCAGCAGCAGGAGGAGGAGGCCUCGGUGGGGAGGCGCCGGGAGGCGUCAAGGGGGCGGCGCGGCGCCAUGUUGGGAAGGGUUCUUUGAAGAAAAACUCAGUGGAGGAUGGAUGUUUGAUGAGCCCCUUUCCCCAUCCCUCACACAUCCUUCCAAAAUCCAAGACAAAAUUAAAUCUGAAAAACUCCUGGCUCCAAGCAUUUUGGAUAAAGAAGACUCAACCUGUGUUUUUUGCCUUUAAACAAUAUUGGAUGACAACUUGGGCUCUGAAUAAAAGAGUGUUCUAGGCUUGUAUGGAUGGCUGAUGUUCCUUAAUUGUCCCCGAAUGCCUCUUUACCAAGGAAUGCAGACAUUUUUCAUAAGGGGCAGUCAUUUCCUCCAGCAAUAUUAGAUAAUGAAUCUGGCAGUUUCUGUCACUUUGAUAUUUUAUUAUCUAUCUAGACAUACAUUUGGUUUACUUUAUUUACCCAGCAUUUUUUUAAAAAAAUCAGUAUGAAAGUUAUGUUCAUUUUUUGAACAUUUAUCCUAAUAUUUACUAUAUUUUUGAUUGCUACCUUUUGUUUUCUGGGCCUUGCAACUUUGUCUUCAAGGAACUAGACACUUAAAUCAGUCAGGGAAUCAUCUGUAUCAUCCCACACCAUCAUAUUCUUCAGUUUCUUGUUCUCCAUGGGAGCAUCUCUGCAAUGGACUGGACUUUUAAACCUACCAAUAAUCAGCUAUUCUUCCUGCCAUAGGGAUCGCCUUUUCCUGGCAGAGAAACCUCCAGCUAAUCCCUGCACGGAUCCUAGCCAGCCCAUUUAUCAACCAAUCAGAAGGAGGCAUGUGAAGUCGGAAUAGCUGUCAGAGGUGUAUAAAAUGUGUUGUAUUUUUCUAUGAAGUUGUGUUUUUACAUUUUGAGUGUUGGCUUGGUACUUGCACUCCUUUUGGCCAAACUGUAAUAAAUCUGUACUUUGCCUUCAACCCAGAGUGUUUUGUUCUCUGUCCUGGCUGAUCUGGUUUAGUGGAAGCUCACAGGGCACAGACCUUCUUAUCUGCAGUACUGGCUGAAAUCACUUAAUUUCAAUGAUUUUAAGGAUCAUUAAAUAAAGUUGACGUGAAAGAAAUAAUUUCAUAAAAUGUUCCAGAUCAAUUUCAAGAACUAUGGAUUUAAAUGUUCUCACCAGCUGAAUGAACAGCACAUUAAAAAUUAAAUAAAUUGAUAAGUCUCAGAAGUUUUGCUAAAACAAACAAAAACAUUUGAUAUCUUCCUCCCCCCAAAUAAUUUUGUUUUCUCUUUGACAAGUCAGCAAUUUUGUUGGUUAUCACUUUUGAUACAACUGAAUAUAGGAAACAUGCUGAUUGAAAGCUGUACUUGGUUUGAUGUCAGAUCAUGAAGGGGAAUUUUUGAAACGGGAAGAAAGAUUAAGAAAGUGUGAUGGUGGGUAGUAUUUUUACCCUUCACCAGUAUGCUUGAAAAGUACAUUCAUCAAACUUUAUGAAACAAGAAAGAUUGUAGAGCAUGUUGUGGUUUUGAAAAAAAAUUACAGGCAACUUUGUUUCUUUCAACAAGAAAAAGUAUGUUGGCCUCCAUUUCAAAGUUUAAAUGCCCUUUGGUACAUGGACCAUAAUUUAUCAAAAUUACUUGGAUCAGUUUUUAAAAUACAAUGGGAAUGAGCAAAGUAAAUCGCUCAUUGAUGGCAUUGUUCAAAAUCUAACCAGUGUUUUCUUUUAUUUAAAGUAUGGGCCAACAUAACCCUCAACCAUCCCAAUUUGCCUGGGAUAGUCCCAGUUAAUCUGCCAGCUCAAUUUUUCAGCUGCUUUAAAAAUGUCCCAGAUGUUUGCUUAAACACUUUGCUUUUAAUAGAGCUCAUUUUCAAGUAUGUAUGCAGAGGCUCAGCAAAAGUAAUUUGCAAAGUACUUUACAAGUUAUUUCCUCCAAAUCUACAAAAGAAACAAGUAUGCCAUUGUUCAUUUUUUUCUGAUGACAUAGCCAUAGACUAUUUUUGAGAAGAAGGAACUGGCAAAACCACAUCUGAAUAUUCCUUGCCUAAGAAAACCCUAUGAAAUUAUUGGAUCACCAUAAGACACAGGACAGCGUGACACAAAGACAUAACUGAGACUGAGAAGUAUUUGCUCAGUAUUUGAGAAUGGAAAUUUGUGAAUCCAUGCUUCCAAGUUCCCAUUCUGUAUAUUGGGCUAUAGUAAUUUUACAAACGUAAAAAAACAUUAAAAACACUAGUAGGAAUAUUGCACAUGUUUACAGUUAGUACAUAUAAUACAGCUUGCUCAAACUUCAGUUGAAUUUCAGUGGAUUUAAAUAAACAAAGAAUUCAUUUAUCUUUUGCUCAUCAACAUUGAUGCAUUCCUGAGAUUUCUUUUUUCACAGGUAAGAAGCCAGUCUUAGAAACAAUGUUGACAAACCAGGUUUUUUUUCUUUUCAAGAGAAAGAAGAAAUGCCUUUGGGGGCUGGUGACAGACUUCUGCAAAAAAAAAAUCAUGUCUUCUCCAAUGUUUAAGUUAAAGUAGUCAUGUAAUUAAAUGGAAGCUUUACACAAAUGAGAAAGUGUGUGUAGUUUCCAUUUAAUUACAAUACUGCUGUUAAGGAUGUACUCCUUUCCAUGUUUAUUUGGAAUUAACCAUGUGGGUUUUUAUAUCUACUCAGAAAUCUCAUCAAGUUGCAAUAGAAUCUGUUUCUAAAAACAUAUGUCCCACCCAUUUCGUGUUCCACCAGAGGGGAUAAUACAUUAUAGAAGGACAUGGGAGCCUUUUCUUUAUGUCCCACCGUCAGGAAAUACCUUCAACUUAGAAUCCCAACGGGUAUCAAUGUUGGCUUCAUUUUGGUGCCAGAUUAAAACAUAAGCGUUACAUUGGUUCAACCCACUUUACCCCACAAUAAGAUCUGGAAAAUCUUGAACAUUCUCGUAGACCUCCAGGAGUGGCAUCACAGUCACUGUGCAUUAUUGGACCCAUUGAGACAAUGCCUAAGGGUUCCUAACUUAGCCUGGACCCAAACCAUUACUAUUUCAAGUUCAUCUUGUCACUUGUAUGCCUACCCAGAACUUUGUGGAUAAGUUUCAAGGUAUAUGACUGCAGAUACGUCUCUUAUCCCUCCAUACACACACACAAUGAAAGCAGAUGCAUAUGCUUGUAUGGACAACAUCUAAUUAUAGAAAACACAGG
Molecule: long non-coding RNA, 3919 nt
Filed under: Anolis carolinensis (green anole)
Lineage: Eukaryota; Metazoa; Chordata; Lepidosauria; Squamata; Anolidae
Description: lncRNA (ENSACAG00000035890.1)
Source: RNAcentral